Molecule: transfer RNA, 93 nt
Filed under: Rickettsiales bacterium
Lineage: Bacteria; Pseudomonadati; Pseudomonadota; Alphaproteobacteria; Rickettsiales
Description: tRNA-Ser
Rfam family: tRNA
About the family: Transfer RNA (tRNA) molecules are approximately 80 nucleotides in length. Their secondary structure includes four short double-helical elements and three loops (D, anti-codon, and T loops).
Source: RNAcentral
GGAGAAAUGGCUGAGUGGUCGAAAGCGUCUUCCUGCUAAGAAGAUGUACUGAGUUAAUCGGUACCGAGGGUUCGAAUCCCUCUUUCUCCGCCA